This 1118-nucleotide long non-coding RNA is filed under the name Pogona vitticeps (central bearded dragon). Its description in RNAcentral is "lncRNA (ENSPVIG00000015713.1)". The stretch from base 100 to 232 matches the Rfam family "Rhabdomyosarcoma 2 associated transcript conserved region 8". The record is from RNAcentral. Lineage: Eukaryota; Metazoa; Chordata; Lepidosauria; Squamata; Agamidae.
ACAACCAUAAAAGGCCCUCCAUUUAUUGCAUUCGCCAAAAAAAAAAAAAAAGUGAUAUUCGUAUGGGAGGCUGAGCUGGAGGCUAAUAAUGAAGGAGUCAGUAAAGGAGGCCAGUGCCGUGAGGGUUAUCUCGCGGCCCCAGAUGCUGGAUAAGUUGAAGAAGGCAGAAUCGCUUUGGAUGACAUUCAGGUCUGAAUGAUGAUUUGGAGAAGAAAAGACUAUUCUUUCCAAGACUCUCAACAAAACCUGAGAAGAGUUGUUCCAGUUAAGUGGAUUAUGUAUUCAUAUAAAGAUGAAUGGACAACCUACUGUUAUCUCCAAGUGUGAGAGUCACAUGCAGAAGUGCUCAAGGAUGCAGUCCAAUAUCUUAACUGUUGAACCGUUUUGCCUUUUCAUCUGUGAAGUUCGUUUACAGCCAUUAUAACAAGAACAUAAUGGCCUCUUGCAACUAGAUCACCAUCAAAAUCACUUCUGGACCUUGUGGCAGAAAGUCACCUAUAUAUCCAUUUACUAAUGUAUGACAGUUAUGGAUUGGAUCCUCUGGUUAAUUACAUGCACAGCUGAAAAUGUGCAGCUAGGAGUAGAGAAUCAGGGAUUAAAGCUAUUUUUCUUCUCCACCUAGCAGUUCAACUGGUCACUUAGAAUAGUGGCUACUACUAAUCCAUGUGACAAGUGGCAUGAUUUUGGUGGUCUUUCUCUCCUUGCUUGCCAAAACAUAAAGUUGUGCAUUUGUUUAAGCAUGGAUGAUGUCUAGAAAAUAUGUCAGAAAACAAGAUCUUAGCUUAUUGCAUUAUAAUACAGACUUCCCUCUCUGUCAUACACGUUUACACUUAUGUAUUAAGGAUAGAUCCUUGGUAAGCUAGCAUUUUGUCUCCCCAUUAAAUAAUGUUUCCUAUGAUAAUGUUUUAUUGGGGAGAUUCUAUCCAGAAAAAUCCAUGGUUUUGGGAAAAAAAAAACUAUAGUUAGAGAAUCAAUUGAAUUAGCUUAUAUUUCAAAACUGCACCAGAAGUAUGACCUAAUAACUUUGCAUACGCAUAAAUGUGCAGUGAGGACAACCUGCGAACAGGAAUGAAUGAAAUGUUGUGGUGUCACACACUAGAUUCAACAAGUUGCAAUGA